Macaca mulatta (Rhesus monkey) is the source of this 2641-nucleotide non-coding RNA. The record is from RefSeq and is a predicted model, not a curated record. Lineage: Eukaryota; Metazoa; Chordata; Mammalia; Primates; Cercopithecidae.
UGAACCCGGGAGGUGGAGGUUGCAGUGGGCCGAGAUAAUACCACUAAAAAUCAUCCCAGUUUCCUGGAGCUUACAUUUGGUAAACUUCAAUGGGGGAUUUUAGCAACGGUCUGCUUUUUCAGCUUAUGUUCAUUUACCCACUUAUUUGCUAAUUCCUUCAUCGGCAUUACAUAUCUUAACAUUAUUCUGGUAGAGUGCAAAGGAUGUAGUAUAUCCCAUUGUUCUUUAACACAUAAUUGGUUUCCACUUACAUCUUCCCAGAUAUUGUCCAGAUUAUUCUGUAUUCUCUCUCAAGUGUCCUUCAUUCUUGUAGGAAUACAGUAUUCCUACCCAGUCAGUAUUAGAAGUUAGAACUAAGGGCACAAGCUGUAGUUCUGGGGGCAUGCAAGUGCCAAGAGAAACAGAGCCAUGCUGGAUUGAAGAGUAUGGGAGGUGUUUUGAAAAAACAAGGGGAGCAAGGUAGGAUCUCACGCUUGGGGGGCAGAGUUCACAUACUUAUGAUGUCACUAAAUUUCCUGCCAAUAGAGAGAGAGGAAGGAAUCACAGGGUUCUACUCUUGAGGAGAAGGCUAGGAUAGGCCUCAGUGUAAAAAGGCGCUAUCGAAAACAGAGCAUAACCAAAUGAUGAAAGCUGAAGGAGAACACUCCUGGCAGGCAGAAACAGAAAGAAGGUUAAGAGAAGAAAUAAAAGAGAAGUGCUUGUUUGUGUGAAACCUGGGAUAAUUAGACUAUAUGGCAUUCUAAUCCUCAUCUGCACUCUCACUGGUUCUGCCCUUCUGUGGUUGGCCUUCAACCUCUUGACCUGGGUGAAUAUGGAAAUCCCAGGCAGUUCCCAAGUCUGCUUAGUAUUCUCUUUGCAGUCUGCAGUGGUGAGGUCACGUGUUGGAUUCCUCUAUCAAAAUCAAGUAAGUUCUGUUCUUGAAAGAGAGGGUCCAGCUCCAAUCCAGUCCCUUCCAGAAAUUGUCAGCCUCUUUUUCUGCCCUAGUUUACCUGAAGGAAACAUUCGUACCAGUAAUAGGAACUCAUUUCAAAGCAUAUCUUAUCCAGGGGCCCUCUAGGAAUACAGCUCAGGUAGACUCAUGAUUCUAGAUAUUUUUGCAGCAUUCUUCUCCCUCUACCCCUGCACUUCCCCUGAGCUGCCAUUUAUUCCUGUUUUAAAGUCCCUGAACUGCAUCUUUUAGCUGUCUGGGCACUCAGACUCAGAUAGGAGGCCCUAGAGAGCUGUUAGCCUUUCUUCUCUCUCCUUCGUGAAUUCAGACUACUUCAUAUUUGGUUGAAUUUUCAUGAUCAGCACCCUUCUUCUCUCCCUAAGCUUCAUACUCCUGGCCUUUCCUCAUUUCUUUCAUGAUACCUGGAAAUGCACCUUAUCUGCACAAUCACCUUCAUCAUUAUAGGUAAGAAAUAGGAGGAAGGAGAUUCCCUCAAUAGUCCUGAUUCUGGGUGGGGUGGCGUUCCAUUAGAUAUAGUCUCUUGGAAACUGCUCAGGGACUGCUAAGGAAAAGGAGGAUUCAGGGAAAAAGGAGAAAAAGAAACCAGAGUAGGGGGAGCUAAAAUGACGACUUAAGGUUCUGGGAAUUAGCCCUUAGGCAGUAGACUAAGCUAACUAGGUGAUGGAUCAUCACCUUUUUUCUUUUUUUGAGUAACAGGUAUCUGUGCGUUCCUUGCAUUACUGCUGCGCUCUUUGUAGGCUUUGAAAGUAAAUAAGUUAUACAAGAAAGUGAAAACCACCCCUCUCUUCCCGCCUUUCAUCCUUUGAUGCAGUGCCGCACUAUUUCCCUUAUCUGGAAUUCUCUGCUUCUUCAGCUUUCUUCCUUGUUGGCUUCGAUGUGCUUUACUGCAACCAAUCCAAGUGCAACCCGUGUAAAUAUCGGUAACCAAUGUGAAUCCAAUAUCAAACAGAGAGGAAACUGGGUAGAGAUGGCUAGGCUAACCUUGGCAGUGGUGACAAGGGUAACUUCUGAAAGUUCAUAUCUAGCCUGUCGUUCAAGACUUCACAGUCACACGCACACCCUAGUUUAAUAACUGUGUAAGACUGAAAAGAGUUGGCCUUUCACUAAUCAUUGUUCAAAUAUGGAUUAGGAGUCUAGGAACCUGGGUUUUUACAGGAGAGAAGACACAGUUGUGUGGGAGAAGAUGAAUGCAUCUUUGGCUCUUGGAGACUGAUAAUGAAAAACUUUCUCCUCACCUUGUAGACUCCCUAGGCCCAUCCCACCCCCACUGUUAUUUGUGGUCCCUGGCAGGAGUUUCUAAUAGUGACAAAGCUUUUUCUUCACCUAUAAAGCCUGAGUUUUUAUAAAAUUCUCUGCCUUCUGGGAGUUUCAUGACUGGGAUCUUUUCACAAUGUGAGAGAAAAUCUACUGGAGAUCAUAUAGGACAAGUUUUCCUCAACAAGAGAUACAAGGAAGAGGUCAAUUUGUUUGUUUUUCUGAAAUUUAUCAUGAGACUGUGAGAGUUUGAGGCACUGCAGGGGGACCAGCCAAAACAUGAGACCCAUAUGUUGAGAGUGACAGAGUGCAAAGUUCAAAAAACUCAAAAUAUUUAAAGAUUUAUCAUGGGUCUUGAUGGCAUGAUGGAACCUCUCUACUCUCUGGACUUACUAGGUGUGGUAAUAAAUCUACUUUGUUUAAGCCAGUUGAGUGGUU